GAUUAACGCUAGCGGCAGGCCUAAUACAUGCAAGUUGUACGGGAUUAUUGGUAGCAAUACUGAUAUGAGAGUAGCGCACGGGUGCGUAACACGUAUGCAACCUACCUUUAACUGGGGAAUAGCUCACCGAAAGGUGAAUUAACACCGCAUAAAAUCACAGAAGGACAUCCUUUAAUGAUUAAAUCUCCGGAGGUUAAAGAUGGGCAUGCGUCCGAUUAGCUAGNGGCGGGGUAAUAGCCCACCAAGGCAACGAUCGGUAGGGGUCUGAGAGGAUGAUCCCCCACACUGGUACUGAGACACGGACCAGACUCCUACGGGAGGCAGCAGUAAGGAAUAUUGGACAAUGGGGGCGAA
RNAcentral lists this ribosomal RNA (354 nucleotides) under uncultured bacterium. RNAcentral describes it as "bacterial SSU rRNA". It matches the Rfam family "Bacterial small subunit ribosomal RNA", at positions 28 to 381 of the family's 1533-position model. The record is from RNAcentral.